RNAcentral lists this small RNA (105 nucleotides) under Salmonella enterica. RNAcentral's name for it is "RtT RNA". It matches the Rfam family "RtT RNA", at positions 17 to 119 of the family's 130-position model. From Rfam's summary of the family: This family represents a bacterial cis-regulatory element known as RtT RNA. The exact function of RtT is unknown although it is thought that it may be involved in changing the cellular response in relation to amino acid starvation. Lineage: Bacteria; Pseudomonadati; Pseudomonadota; Gammaproteobacteria; Enterobacterales; Enterobacteriaceae. The record is from RNAcentral.
GAAGGAUGAGAAGCUUCGACUAAGGUUCGAUUCGAGCGUCAGCGAGAAAGCGUUGCCGCAGGCAACGACCCGAAGGGCGAAGCGCGCAGCGCUGAGUCAUCCUUC